RNAcentral lists this ribosomal RNA (558 nucleotides) under Malacopsylla grossiventris. RNAcentral's name for it is "eukaryotic LSU rRNA". It matches the Rfam family "Eukaryotic large subunit ribosomal RNA", at positions 580 to 982 of the family's 3401-position model. Lineage: Eukaryota; Metazoa; Arthropoda; Insecta; Siphonaptera; Malacopsyllidae. The record is from RNAcentral.
GACGUAGCCUGUGUCGAAUUCGCAGACCCCGCGUGUUCUGGUCGACUGCCCGACGGUAUAGCGUUCGACCGGCCGCAAGAGCGAACGGUGUCUCGGAUGUCGGACCUGGUCCGCCGCCGAACCCGUUCGUUCUGUUGGCGACCGUGUUCUCGGACAGGCCCUACCGGUCAGCGAUGCUAUUGCUUUGGGUACUUUCAGGACCCGUCUUGAAACACGGACCAAGGAGUCUAGCAUGUGCGCAAGUCAUUGGGAAUUACAAAACCUAAAGGCGCAAUGAAAGUAAAGGUUCGCCUUUGCGGACUGAGGGAUGAUGGUCAACGCAGACCCGCAAUCCCGGGGCGUCUCACUCUCAUUACGAGAAGAGGCGCACCAAGAGCGUACACGCUGGGACCCGAAAGAUGGUGAACUAUGCCUGGUCAGGUCGAAGUCAGGGGAAACCCUGAUGGAGGACCGUAGCGAUUCUGACGUGCAAAUCGAUCGUCGGAACUGGGUAUAGCGGCGAAAGACUAAUCGAACCAUCUAGUAGCUGGUUCCCUCCGAAGUUUCCCUCAGGAUAGC